ACUUAAAUUGAAGAGUUUGAUCAUGGCUCAGAUUGAACGCUGGCGGCAGGCCUAACACAUGCAAGUCGAGCGGUAGCACAGAGAGCUUGCUCUCGGGUGACGAGCGGCGGACGGGUGAGUAAUGUCNUGGGAAACUGCCUGAUGGAGGGGGNAUAANNCUACUGGAAACGGUAGCUAAUACCGCAUAAUGUCGCAAGACCAAAGUGGGGGACCUUCGGGCCUCAUGCCAUCAGAUGUGCCCAGAUGGGAUUAGCUAGUAGGUGGGGUAACGGCUCACCUAGGCGACGAUCCCUAGCUGGUCUGAGAGGAUGACCAGCCACACUGGAACUGAGACACGGUCCAGACUCCUACGGGAGGCAGCAGUGGGGAAUAUUGCACAAUGGGCGCAAGCCUGAUGCAGCCAUGCC
This 407-nucleotide ribosomal RNA is filed under the name Klebsiella pneumoniae. RNAcentral describes it as "bacterial SSU rRNA". It matches the Rfam family "Bacterial small subunit ribosomal RNA", at positions 1 to 398 of the family's 1533-position model. The record is from RNAcentral. Lineage: Bacteria; Pseudomonadati; Pseudomonadota; Gammaproteobacteria; Enterobacterales; Enterobacteriaceae.